UACGGAGGGUGCGAGCGUUGUCCGGAAUCACGUGGCGUAAAGGGCGCGUAGGCGGCGCGGGUAGUCAUCGGUGAAAGUUCAGGGCUCAACUCUGAAUCGGCCGGUGAUACUCCCGUGCUUGAGCACUGUAGAGGCAGGUGGAAUUCCGGGUGUAGCGGUGGAAUGCGUAGAGAUCCGGAAGAACACCGGUGGCGAAGGCGGCCUGCUGGGCAGUAGCUGACGCUGAUGCGCGACAGCGUGGGGAGCAAACAGG
This 253-nucleotide ribosomal RNA is filed under the name uncultured bacterium. RNAcentral's name for it is "partial 16S ribosomal RNA". It matches the Rfam family "Bacterial small subunit ribosomal RNA", at positions 524 to 776 of the family's 1533-position model. The record is from RNAcentral.